AUUGAACGCUGGCGGCGUGCUUAACACAUGCAAGUCGAUCGGUAACAGGUGUAGCAAUACAUGCUGACGAGAGGCGGACGGGUGAGUAAUGCUUGGGAAUCUGCCUAUUAGUGGGGGACAACCCGGGGAACUCGGGCUAAUACCGCAUACGCUCUACGGAGGAAAGCCGGGGACCGCAAGGCCUGGCGCUAAUAGAUGAGCCCAAGUCGGAUUAGCUAGUUGGUAGGUAACGGCCUACCAAGGCGACCAAAUCCGUAGCUGGUCUGAGAGGACGACCAGGCCACACCGGAA
RNAcentral lists this ribosomal RNA (291 nucleotides) under uncultured bacterium. RNAcentral's name for it is "partial 16S ribosomal RNA". It matches the Rfam family "Bacterial small subunit ribosomal RNA", at positions 30 to 318 of the family's 1533-position model. The record is from RNAcentral.